Molecule: long non-coding RNA, 589 nt
Organism: Homalodisca vitripennis (glassy-winged sharpshooter)
Lineage: Eukaryota; Metazoa; Arthropoda; Insecta; Hemiptera; Cicadellidae
Exons: 2
Source: RefSeq, a predicted model, not a curated record
GUGCUAGUGACAAUGAUAAGAACAAUGGCAUUGAAUAUUAGGUAUUAGCCCAAAAUGGUUUUAUAAAACACUGAACAAUGUUUUAAAUGGCUGCGAGGAAAGGAGCUAGCUCCUUUAAACUGAGGUGUCCAGUUUGUAAUGAGGAUAUGAAAACCAUGUCCACCUUGUGAAGUAAUAGUUAGUACUACAUGGCUCAAGAGUACUUUAAAUACAGUUUAGUUAUUUUAUACAAUUUAAAAAACAAAUUGAUUUCUUCUACAUAUAAAAAUAUAGUUUCUCUAUAUUAACAUCUUUAAAGCCUAAAACUUAAUUGAACUCGAGUAAUGACAUAAUCAUUCAAAAUUUAUUCAAAGUAAUAACGUGUUUGGAAAUAAAUUCAAAAUUAAAAACCAUGUGUUUCGUUAUUGACUAAAAGCGGCAAUAACAGUGCCGUAGCCUAUGUGUCUGCACAAGCAGCCACAUUUAUCCUUCAAAAUAAAUAAGUGUUACAGAUAUGACCCAGAAGCCUGGAUUCUCCCCAGACCACAAGUAAAUGUAAGAAUUCUAUACAUGUACUUUGUUUUUAAAUCUGAAUAAAUAAUUAACAGUU